CAUAGUUCCUGCCAGGACUCUCACCAGGACUAAUGGCUUGAAAAACCAUCGUUGUAUUCAACUACAAGAAC
Cyprinodon variegatus (sheepshead minnow) is the source of this 71-nucleotide non-coding RNA. Lineage: Eukaryota; Metazoa; Chordata; Actinopteri; Cyprinodontiformes; Cyprinodontidae. The record is from Ensembl.